RNAcentral lists this small nuclear RNA (164 nucleotides) under Echinops telfairi (small Madagascar hedgehog). RNAcentral's name for it is "U1 spliceosomal RNA (ENSETEG00000021927.1)". It matches the Rfam family "U1 spliceosomal RNA". From Rfam's summary of the family: U1 is a small nuclear RNA (snRNA) component of the spliceosome (involved in pre-mRNA splicing). Lineage: Eukaryota; Metazoa; Chordata; Mammalia; Afrosoricida; Tenrecidae. The record is from RNAcentral.
AUACUUACCUGACUGGGGAGACACCAUGAUCAGGAAGGUAGUUUUCCCAGGGCAAGGCUCAUCCAUUGCACUGCGGAUGUGCUGACUCCUGUGAUUUCCCCAAAUGCGGGAAACUCGACUGCAUAAUUUGUGGUAGUGGGGGACUGUGUUCGCGCUCUCCCCUG